AGCAGCCGCGGUAAUUCCAGCUCCAAUAGCGUAUAUUAAAGUUGUUGCAGUUAAAAAGCUCGUAGUUGAAUUUCGGGAUCAAAGGAUCGGUCAUGCCUUGGUAUGUACUGGUUUUAUUGGUUCUCACCUUCUAAAGAACCAUAAUGUCAUUCAUUUGAUGUUAUGGGGAAUUAGGACUGUUACCUUGAAAAAAUUAGAGUGUUUAAAGCAGGCUUACGCUUGAAUACAUUAGCAUGGAAUAAUGAAAUAGGACAUCAGAUUCUAUUUUGUUGGUUUCUAGGAUCGAUGUAAUGAUUAAUAGGGAUAGUUGGGGGCAUUAGUAUUCAAUUGUCAGAGGUGAAAUUCUUGGAUUUAUUGAAGACUAACUACUGCGAAAGCAUUUGCCAAGGAUGUUUUCAUUAAUCAAGAACGAAGGUUAGGGGAUCGAAGACGAUCAGAUACCGUCGUAGUCUUAACCAUAAACUAUGCCGACUAGGGAUCGGAUGAUGUUAAUUUUUUUAAUGACUCAUUCGGCGCCUUA
RNAcentral lists this ribosomal RNA (520 nucleotides) under uncultured Glomus. Its description in RNAcentral is "SSU rRNA". It matches the Rfam family "Eukaryotic small subunit ribosomal RNA", at positions 569 to 1090 of the family's 1831-position model. Lineage: Eukaryota; Fungi; Glomeromycota; Glomeromycetes; Glomerales; Glomeraceae. The record is from RNAcentral.